RNAcentral lists this ribosomal RNA (207 nucleotides) under uncultured bacterium. RNAcentral's name for it is "partial 16S ribosomal RNA". It matches the Rfam family "Bacterial small subunit ribosomal RNA", at positions 568 to 774 of the family's 1533-position model. The record is from RNAcentral.
UGCGUAGGCGGUCGGCUAAGUCUGAUGUGAAAUCUCCGGGCUCAACCCGGAAACUGCAUCGGAAACUAGUCGGCUAGAGGAUUGGAGGGGGGACUGGAAUUCUCGGUGUAGCAGUGAAAUGCGUAGAUAUCGAGAGGAACACCAGUGGCGAAGGCGAGUCCCUGGACAAUUCCUGACGCUGAGGCACGAAAGCUAGGGGAGCAAACA